CGGGACGUGGCGCAGCCUGGUAGCGCGCACCCUUGGGGUGGGUGAGGCCGCUGGUUCGAAUCCAGUCGUCCCGACCA
RNAcentral lists this transfer RNA (77 nucleotides) under Acidobacteriota bacterium. Its description in RNAcentral is "Acidobacteria bacterium tRNA-Pro". It matches the Rfam family "tRNA". Rfam says of the family: Transfer RNA (tRNA) molecules are approximately 80 nucleotides in length. Lineage: Bacteria; Pseudomonadati; Acidobacteriota. The record is from RNAcentral. RNAcentral also lists the same sequence under 5 other names.